Long non-coding RNA from Gallus gallus (chicken), 1429 nucleotides. The record is from Ensembl. Lineage: Eukaryota; Metazoa; Chordata; Aves; Galliformes; Phasianidae.
AGAGUAUCUUGCUGGAGGCCUUCUGAAGGAAGAGCUGACACAAGUUGGCAGGGACAGAAGCAGCCUCUCCUGCUUGCUCCUUAUCCAACUGGAGCAUGCACUAAUUCAGAGACUCUUUGACAAAGCGAACCAAGAUCAGACCUCUGCAGAACCUUGGUGCUCUUUUGUAUUCCUCCUCACUUGGUCUUUAUGGAGUGAGCCCAUUCCCACCAUGAGUUCCAAUGGUGAGCAGUGUGCAUGAUGCAUGCAUGAAUGCCUGUGGUUUAAUGGAUGACUGCACAGGGAUGCUCCCUGUGCGGUUAUAUGGAUGUACCCACUGCUUACAGUCCAAAACUGGAAAAAAAACUCCAGAAAAGUGAGUCCUCUCAAGAAAUUCAAGGGCAGGCACAGAGAGAUUACAGAGAAGGAGGUGAGACUGCUGUCUGCUAACAAUUAGAUUCAGCAGGAUGGAAGGUGUUGUAUGGCAAAGUGACAGGAAGCUGCUCGCCUAAUGGUAAUGCCACCCUUGUUUGUGGCUGAAAAUGGUGUUCACAGGGGAUAUGUAUAUGAACAAAAGGUGUGACUGUCCCACCUCUGCACAUGAAUUUCCUGCUGGUGGGGCCAGAGCAGGACCCAAUGUUCCUACAGCACCUACCAUUGAGCAGUGUUUGAGAAGGAGCUCCAGCCCUGUGUGGUCAUGACUGCUGUGCUCAGCCCUCCAGGGAGAGGGAGGAAGGGUGCAGCGCCAUGGCACACAGCUCACCUGUAUUGCAGAGCAAGGCCUGAUGGUUGCAGCUAGCCUGUCCCAUUGCAUGGAGGAAGAGUCCUCAUCCUGAUGUCAGCAUCAAUUUUUGUCACACAUCUUCAGUGUUUCCUACCCUCUCUUACCAGUCAACCUCAGAAAGGCUUCCGAAAGUUUUACAUUUGGGUGGUUUCAAAGAACAGUGCUUUUUGGUCUUUUGGGUGGGGGCUUCACAGCAGCAAGUUUUAUUGUGAAAAUAUUCACAUGUAGCCCAUGACUGGGAGGAGAUUUUCCCUAGGAGGAGGCAGAGUGGAGAUGGACAGACAAGAAUCACCUUUUGGAAAGCAGCUGACCAGUAGAACCCUCAACUGGAGGAGGAAUGAGAUGUUUCCGAGCCCUGACACUGCUGAGUUGAAGCAGUUCUUCACCUUCAGCAUCUGCUGACAUCUCAGGUGAAGCUUGCAAAAGCAUCUCCAGAACCUACAGUGCUCUUUGCAGUGAAUGUAGAUACGCAGAGACACAUCCUACAUGGGUGUUUCACCGCCGGUCCCUGGACCACCCCCCCACGCCCCAGUCCCGGAACCGAGCUCCGCUUCCCCACGUGUCCCCACCUGUGGCAUCGACGGUGGCACAUCUGGGCUGCGCGCCCCCUCCUUCCCUCCCGGAGCGGAACAGCUGUCUCCAUAGCGACGGGGAGCGGCGGGGGGG